UACGUAGGUGGCAAGCGUUGUCCGGAUUUACUGGGCGUAAAGAGCGCGCAGGCGGCCAAGUCAGUCGAAUGUGAAAGCCCCCGGCUCAACUGGGGAGGGUCAUUCGAUACUGCUCGGCUCGAAGACAGGAGAGGGAAGUGGAAUUCCCGGUGUAGUGGUGAAAUGCGUAGAGAUCCGGAGGAACACCAGUGGCGAAGGCGGCUCGCUGGGCUUUACCUGACGCUGAGGCGCGAAAGCGUGGGGAGCGAACCGG
Molecule: ribosomal RNA, 253 nt
Filed under: uncultured bacterium
Lineage: Bacteria
Description: partial 16S ribosomal RNA
Rfam family: Bacterial small subunit ribosomal RNA
Source: RNAcentral